This 328-nucleotide ribosomal RNA is filed under the name Desulfamplus sp. RNAcentral describes it as "bacterial SSU rRNA". It matches the Rfam family "Bacterial small subunit ribosomal RNA", at positions 1 to 223 of the family's 1533-position model. The record is from RNAcentral. Lineage: Bacteria; Pseudomonadati; Thermodesulfobacteriota; Desulfobacteria; Desulfobacterales; Desulfobacteraceae.
AAACUGUAGAGUUUGAUUCUGGCUCAGAAUGAACGCUGGCGGCGUGCUUAACACAUGCAAGUCGAACGAGAAAGGGACUGCUUGCAGUCCCGAGUAGAGUGGCGCACGGGUGAGUAACGAGUAGAUAAUCUACCUUUGAAUUAGGGAUAACUAUGCGAAAGUGUAGCUAAUACCUGAUGAGGUCGAGUAGCCUUUGGGUUAUUUGAUGAAAGAGUGCUUUUUCGGAGGCACCAUAUUGCUAAAGUUCCCAUCUCUGUAUAUUCAGGCUCAAUAGUUACUGGAACAUAGCUUUUUUCCCCUUUUUUUCCAAAUCUGUUUACUGUUUGGA